RNA transcript from Paramacrobiotus metropolitanus, 993 nucleotides. RefSeq lists it as uncharacterized. The record is from RefSeq and is a predicted model, not a curated record. The transcript has 5 exons. NCBI's taxonomy places the organism in Eukaryota, Metazoa, Tardigrada, Eutardigrada, Parachela, Macrobiotidae.
AAAAAACGCGCCGGAUUUGACAGCUAAAUUAUUUUAUCCGAACGGGUUUGAAAAAUGGAUGUAUCGAAUGCGGAAAAAAUUUUUUGUUCUGACCGGACUUUGGGGACACUGCAGAUGCUGCUGCGAGAUCAGGAACAUCCACUCCUAAAAGAAUUAGCCAAUGUGCGCAGCGAAACUCGAGACCAGUGCGUAAAGUGCUUGGAUGUACUCGUCUGGUUCAUUCAGACUGUGCAAAGAAUUGUCAUGCCUCUUACUGUACUGAAUCCUCGUCAAGCUGCUCGUCUAAAGCAGCCGCUUUACGAAGCUGUUACAAAGGGCAACAUCGAUCGCAUUUUCUCUGACAUGAAAGUAGCAUUGUCUGAGCUCCGUCCAUCGACGAACGCCAGGAAAUCGUUGCCCCGACCGACGUGGACUGGUCUGCACGUUACCGUGUACGGCACAGAAGAAGUUGCCAGAAAGCUGUUGCACGCCGGUUUUGAGUUUGUUCUUCCCGGAAAAAUGUCUAGUGAUCCAAUAGAGAGAAUAUUUUCUGCGUUCAAAUAUGGUUCUGGAAAGGUAACAGUUGGGAAAGUGAAAGAAGAAGUUGCAAGGAUGGAAACAUUACAGCAUCUGACGGGAACAACAAACGUCAGCCGCAUGGGACGACAAAAGAGAAAAAUACCGGUCUGACUUUUCCACAUCCCCAUUGAAAAAGAAACGCCAUAUUGACCGGCCGCUGCGCACGAAAGUUUUCAGCUUUGAAGCAGAUAUCGGAUACCUGCGUGCGUUAGGCGAGUUGUCUGCACAUGUGCCGUCAGAUAUAUUUUCCGGACUCCAAAAAAUCGAUCCUCGGCUCUGGAGCGCAGCGACAAUUGCAGAUCUUGUUACAGCAGAUCCGUAUACGAUUUUCAGUUGCAGAAAAGAUGUCGUAGGGACUGGCUUGACUGAUGUUGGCGGAUAUAUUGUUUCAAAAAUGCAAAAGGGAAAGUUUCCGUGCUCUUCGUGCAAAUCUGG